RNAcentral lists this unclassified non-coding RNA (342 nucleotides) under soil metagenome. RNAcentral describes it as "partial contains 5.8S ribosomal RNA, internal transcribed spacer 2, and large subunit ribosomal RNA". The stretch from base 1 to 120 matches the Rfam family "5.8S ribosomal RNA", at positions 35 to 154 of the family's 154-position model. The record is from RNAcentral.
GAUGAAGAACGUAGCGAAAUGAGAUAAGUAAUGUGAAUUGCAGAAUUCAGUGAAUCAUCGAAUCUUUGAACGCACAUUGCGCCCGCCAGCACUCUGGCGGGCAUGCCUGUUCGAGCGUCAUUUCAACCAUCAAGCCCCCAGGGGCUUGUGCUGGGGCCCUGCGGCUGCCCGCAGGCCCUGAAAACCAGUGGCGGGCUCGCUAGUCACACCGAGCGCAGUAGCACAUCUCGCUCAGGGCGUGCGGCGGGCUCCUGCCGUGAAACCCCCCACUGUAACCCCAAAGGUUGACCUCGGAUCAGGCAGGAAUACCCGCUGAACUUAAGCAUAUCAAUAAGCGGAGGA